UACGUAGGUGGCAAGCGUUGUUCGGAAUUAUUGGGCGUAAAGGGCGCGUAGGCGGUUUGUUAAGUCGGCUGUGAAAGCCCGGGGCUCAACCCCGGAGGGUCAGCCGAUACUGGCAGACUAGAGUACGGCAGAGGGGGAUGGAAUUCCGCGUGUAGCAGUGAAAUGCGUAGAUAUGCGGAGGAACACCGAUGGCGAAGGCAAUCCCCUGGGCCUGUACUGACGCUCAUGCACGAAAGCGUGGGGAGCAAACAGG
RNAcentral lists this ribosomal RNA (253 nucleotides) under uncultured bacterium. RNAcentral's name for it is "partial 16S ribosomal RNA". It matches the Rfam family "Bacterial small subunit ribosomal RNA", at positions 524 to 776 of the family's 1533-position model. The record is from RNAcentral.